GUCUUCGUGGCUCAGUUGGUUAGAGCGUCAGUCUCAUAUCAUAUUACAUAUGACUUGAUUGAAAACUUCAAGAUAUCUGAAGGUCGUGAGUUCGAGCCUCACCGAGGACA
Molecule: transfer RNA, 110 nt
Filed under: Pestalotiopsis fici W106-1
Lineage: Eukaryota; Fungi; Ascomycota; Sordariomycetes; Amphisphaeriales; Sporocadaceae
Also listed under: 1 other name
Rfam family: tRNA
About the family: Transfer RNA (tRNA) molecules are approximately 80 nucleotides in length. Their secondary structure includes four short double-helical elements and three loops (D, anti-codon, and T loops).
Source: Rfam by way of RNAcentral